UGAGGAAUAUUGCACAAUGGGGGCAACCCUGAUGCAGCAACGCCGCGUGAGUGAUGAAGCAGUUUAUCUGUGUAAAGCUCUGUUGGGAGGGACGAAAUGACUGGUUAGUUGCCAGUUUUGACGGUACCUCCUGAGGAAGCUCCGGCUAACUCCGUGCCAGCAGCCGCGGUAAUACGGGGGGAGCGAGCGUUGUCCGGAUUUAUUGGGCGUAAAGGGCAUGUAGGUGGUCUUUUAAGUCAGUUGUUAAAACUAUCGGCUUAACCGGUAAUUGCAAUUGAUACUGGAGGACUUGAAUUUGAGAGGGGAUAGUGGAAUAUCAAGUGUAGCGGUGGAAUGCGUAGAUAUUUGAUAGAACACCUGAGGUGAAGACGACUAUCUGGCUCAUGAUUGACACUGAAAUGCGAAAGCAUGGGGAGCAAACAGG
Molecule: ribosomal RNA, 424 nt
Filed under: uncultured bacterium
Lineage: Bacteria
Description: bacterial SSU rRNA
Rfam family: Bacterial small subunit ribosomal RNA
Source: RNAcentral